CCUGAGAAACCCAAAAGAUCGAACGGGGAGAUUCAUCGUCAGCGCAUUUUGUAUAUGUAUGAGGUAUGAUGCGGGUUACUCUUUGAGUAUUGCCUGCACAUCCUUGUAUGUUUAGUGGCAAGAUGUCGUCGGCGUGCACUUCUCCCCUUAGUAGGACGUCGCGACCCGUUGGGUGUUGGUUUACGGCCCAAGUGGUAGCCUUUAAUGUUGUAUUUAUUUGUAAUAUUAAAGACCCUUGGUGUUUUCUAACCAACUGCUCGGCGGUAUUCGUACGGUAUUUAGCCGCAUUUUUAUGCGUCCAUACCCAUCGCAAGCGCGGUUAGAUUUCGAUAGUACGGACUUUGUGCCGACGUUGUAUCUGACCAGCUGUUGGUUGUUAUGGUGUUCUAGGACUGGCUAAAAUUAUUACCGGUCGGCGAUGCUACUGCUU
Molecule: ribosomal RNA, 430 nt
Filed under: Dendrosoter middendorffii
Lineage: Eukaryota; Metazoa; Arthropoda; Insecta; Hymenoptera; Braconidae
Description: eukaryotic LSU rRNA
Source: RNAcentral